GGGGGGCCAGCAUGCUGGCAGCCUUUCAGAUGGGGAAACUGAGGGCCCAGAGAGGGGAGCACUUGCUCAAGGCCCCGCGGGAGCCAAGUGUGCCCGGCGGAGGCGGUGUGAAAGGAGACGGCGGUCACACGGACCUGGCUGGGAUCCCGGUCCCCUCACCUCCCGCUGUGUGUCCUCGGGCAGGUCACCCACCCUCUCUGAACCUCAGUGGAUACGACUGCUGAUCAUAGAAGCCACCGCUUUGUUUCCGG
Molecule: long non-coding RNA, 251 nt
Organism: Cebus imitator (Panamanian white-faced capuchin)
Lineage: Eukaryota; Metazoa; Chordata; Mammalia; Primates; Cebidae
Exons: 3
Source: RefSeq, a predicted model, not a curated record